CAGUCGCCGCGGUAAUACGAAGGGGGCUAGCGUUGUUCGGAAUUACUGGGCGUAAAGCGCACGUAGGCGGAUAUUUAAGUCAGGGGUGAAAUCCCGCAGCUCAACUGCGGAACUGCCUUUGAUACUGGGUAUCUUGAGUAUGGAAGAGGUUAGUGGAAUUGCGAGUGUAGAGGUGAAAUUCGUAGAUAUUCGCAGGAACACCAGUGGCGAAGGCGGCUAACUGGUCCAUAACUGACGCUGAGGUGCGAAAGCGUGGGGAGCAAACAGGAUUAGAUACCCGAGUAGUCCCUGUCUCUUAUAA
RNAcentral lists this ribosomal RNA (301 nucleotides) under uncultured bacterium. Its description in RNAcentral is "partial 16S ribosomal RNA". It matches the Rfam family "Bacterial small subunit ribosomal RNA", at positions 509 to 809 of the family's 1533-position model. The record is from RNAcentral.